GACGAACGCUGGCGGCGUGCCUAAUACAUGCAAGUCGAACGCACUCUCGUUUAGAUUGAAGGAGCUUGCUCCUGAUUGAUAAACAUUUGAGUGAGUGGCGGACGGGCGAGUAACACGUGGGUAACCUGCCCUAAAGUGGGGGAUAACAUUUGGAAACAGAUGCUAAUACCGCAUAAAACCUAAACACCGCAUGGUGUAGGGUUGAAAGAUGGUUUCGGCUAUCACUUUAGGAUGGACCCGCGGUGCAUUAGUUAGUUGGUGAGGUAAAGGCUCACCAAGACCGUGAUGCAUAGCCGACCUGAGAGGGUAAUCGGCCACACUGGGACUGAGACACGGCCCAGACUCCUACGGGAGGCAGCAGUAGGGAAUCUUCCACAAUGGACGAAAGUACUGAUGGAGCAACGCCGCGUGAGUGAAGAAGUUUCGGAUCGUAAAACUCUAGUUGUUGGUAGAAGAAUAGUAUCUGAUAGUAACUGAUCAGGUA
Molecule: ribosomal RNA, 484 nt
Filed under: uncultured bacterium
Lineage: Bacteria
Description: bacterial SSU rRNA
Rfam family: Bacterial small subunit ribosomal RNA
Source: RNAcentral